This 24-nucleotide microRNA is filed under the name Mus musculus (house mouse). Its description in RNAcentral is "mmu-miR-5623-5p". The record is from miRBase by way of RNAcentral. Lineage: Eukaryota; Metazoa; Chordata; Mammalia; Rodentia; Muridae.
UGGCAGCUGGCAAGUCAGAAUGCA